RNAcentral lists this ribosomal RNA (227 nucleotides) under Escherichia coli. RNAcentral describes it as "partial 16S ribosomal RNA". It matches the Rfam family "Bacterial small subunit ribosomal RNA", at positions 1 to 222 of the family's 1533-position model. Lineage: Bacteria; Pseudomonadati; Pseudomonadota; Gammaproteobacteria; Enterobacterales; Enterobacteriaceae. The record is from RNAcentral.
UUAAAUUGAAGAGUUUGAUCAUGGCUCAGAUUGAACGCUGGCGGCAGGCCUAACACAUGCAAGUCGAACGGUAACAGAAAGCAGCUUGCUGCUUUGCUGACGAGUGGCGGACGGGUGAGUAAUGUCUGGGAAACUGCCCGAUGGAGGGGGAUAACUACUGGAAACGGUAGCUAAUACCGCAUAACGUCGCAAGACCAAAGAGGGGGACCUUAGGGCCUCUUGCCAUC